CUUUAUCUCACCUACCUGAACAGAAGGUGCCCAUAUGCAUGGUCCUGUCAGUACCUUGCUUAAGUUUCCUCACUAAAAUACAUCACCAGCUCUCGACCAACCAAGAAUACCUUCAAUUGCGCAAGGAGAUCGAAAACUGCCCUGCCAAAUACCCUGACUUCAAGCUCACUGACAAAUUAAUUUGACACAAAAGUCGAAUUUGG
Molecule: long non-coding RNA, 203 nt
Filed under: Glycine max (soybean)
Lineage: Eukaryota; Viridiplantae; Streptophyta; Magnoliopsida; Fabales; Fabaceae
Description: long non-coding RNA (GMAX_LNC001259)
Source: RNAcentral